GAUGAACGCUGGCGGCGUGCCUAAUACAUGCAAGUCGAGCGAACGGACGAGAAGCUUGUUUCUCUGAUGUUAGCGGCGGACGGGUGUGUAACACGUGGAUAACCUACCUAUAAGACUGGGAUAAUCUCGGGAAACCGUAGCUAAUACCGGAUAAUAUUUUGAACCGCAUGGUUGAAAAGUGAAAGACGGUCUUGCUGUCACGUAUAGAUGGAUCCGCGCUGCAUUAGCUAGUUGGUAAGGUAACGGCUUACCAAGGCAACGAUGCAUAGCCGACCUGAGAGGGUGAUCGGCCACACUGGAACUGAGACACGGUCCAGACUCCUACGGGAGGCAGCAGUAGGGAAUCUUCCGCAAUGGGCGAAAGCCUGACGGAGCAACGCCGCGUGAGUGAUGAAGGUCUUCGGAUCGUAAAACUCUGUUAUUAGGGAAGAACAUAUGUGUAAGUAACUGUGCACAUCUUGACGGUACCUAAUCAGAAAGCCACGGCUAACUACGUG
Molecule: ribosomal RNA, 497 nt
Filed under: uncultured bacterium
Lineage: Bacteria
Description: partial 16S ribosomal RNA
Rfam family: Bacterial small subunit ribosomal RNA
Source: RNAcentral